Molecule: small nuclear RNA, 164 nt
Filed under: Dendronephthya gigantea
Lineage: Eukaryota; Metazoa; Cnidaria; Anthozoa; Malacalcyonacea; Nephtheidae
Description: U1 spliceosomal RNA
Rfam family: U1 spliceosomal RNA
About the family: U1 is a small nuclear RNA (snRNA) component of the spliceosome (involved in pre-mRNA splicing). Its 5' end forms complementary base pairs with the 5' splice junction, thus defining the 5' donor site of an intron.
Source: RNAcentral
AUACUUACCUGACGCGAGAGGCACCUUGAUCAACUAGGAGGUCCUCUCAGGAUGAGGCCCUUUCAUUGCACUUCGACUGGGUUGACUCCUGCGAUUACCCCUAAUGUGGGUAACUCGAGUGUAUAAUUUCUGGUAGUGGGGACCUGCAUUCGCGCUCGUCCCCU